GGUACUGGUGGUGAUCAGGCAGAGGUACAGUACAAAUGCCAAUUUCACUCCAUUAUAAGAUAAUAAAUUAACGUGUUGGCAUAUCAUGGUGUGAUGGCAUGUUGGCGUGCUUAUAAGAUCUUCAUAAGGAAUAUGGGGCCCACCAUAUUGAUUAUUUAAGGGAAAAGAAUGCUGAAAUGUAUUGUUGUUUAUAAUAAGUAGUCAACUUUGGUUUCUAAUCAGAUUACUGAAGAGGAUGUCUAUGGUUACAAAAUUUAGUACCCUGUCAUUUCUAUCAUCAGUGCUUCAGAGCCUUUGCACAUAAGUAAAAGAUUAAACAUUUUCCUAUUGUUAUUUCUGCACUAUACUUGAAUAAUUACAAUUUUUUUCUUAAGGCUUCACUGUAACCCUUAUGUUAACAAAUGAUUUUCAUCAUGUGGAAGUUUAUGCAAUUAACUUUCACAAAAUUUUCUAAACCA
Molecule: unclassified non-coding RNA, 458 nt
Filed under: Hevea brasiliensis (rubber tree)
Lineage: Eukaryota; Viridiplantae; Streptophyta; Magnoliopsida; Malpighiales; Euphorbiaceae
Source: RNAcentral